GAUGAACGCUAGCGGCAGGCUUAAUACAUGCAAGUCGAGGGGCAUCAAGGUACACGAAAGUGUAUUGUUGGCGACCGGCGGACGGGUGAGUAAUAGGUAGGUAACCUACCUCAUACUGAGGCAUAGCUGGGAGAAAUUCCAGGUAAUUCCUCAUGAGGUUAUAUGACACAUGUGAUAUAAUCAAAGGUAUCGCAAGGUACUGGUAUGAGAUGGGCUUACUGACCAUUAGCUAGUUGGUGAGAUAAGAGCUCACCAAGGCGAAGAUGGUUAGGGGUUUUGAGAGAGAGAUCCCCCACAUUGGAACUGAGAUACGGUCCAGACUCCUACGGGAGGCAGCAGUAGGGAAUAUUGGGCAAUGGGCGAAAGCCUGACCCAGCGACGCCGCGUGAGGGAAGAAGGCCUUCGGGUCGUAAACCUCUGUCUAUGGGGAAGAAGCAAGCGACGGUACCCCAAGAGGAAGCCCCGUGCUAACUACGUGCCAGCAGCCGCGGU
RNAcentral lists this ribosomal RNA (492 nucleotides) under uncultured bacterium. Its description in RNAcentral is "bacterial SSU rRNA". It matches the Rfam family "Bacterial small subunit ribosomal RNA", at positions 28 to 521 of the family's 1533-position model. The record is from RNAcentral.